Molecule: long non-coding RNA, 1450 nt
Organism: Oncorhynchus keta (chum salmon)
Lineage: Eukaryota; Metazoa; Chordata; Actinopteri; Salmoniformes; Salmonidae
Exons: 3
Source: RefSeq, a predicted model, not a curated record
CAGGACCGUACUGUGGUACUACACUAUUACACUGCUAUGUACUACUAAUGUCUGUCAAGACAGGACCGUACUGUGGUACUACACUAUUACACUGUUAUGUACUACUAAUGUCUGUCAAGACAGGACCGUACUGUGGUACUACACUAUUACACUGUUAUGUACUACUAAUGUCUGUCAAGACAGGACCGUACUGUGGUACUACACUAUUACACUGCUAUGUACUACUAAUGUCUGUCAAGACAGGACCGUACUGUGGUACUACACUAUUACACUGUUAUGUACUACUAAUGUCUGUCAAGACAGGACCGUACUGUGGUACUACACUAUUACACUGCUAUGUACUACUAAUGUCUGUCAAGACAGGACCGUACUGUGGUACUACACUAUUACACUGCUAUGUACUACUAAUGUCUGUCAAGACAGGACCGUACUGUGGUACUACACUAUUACACUGCUAUGUACUACUAAUGUCUGUCAAGACAGGACCGUACUGUGGUACUACACUAUUACACUGUUAUGUACUACUAAUGUCUGUCAAGACAGGACCGUACUGUGGUACUACACUAUUACACUGCUAUGUACUACUAAUGUCUGUCAAGACAGGACCGUACUGUGGUACUACACUAUUACACUGUUAUGUACUACUAAUGUCUGUCAAGACAGGACCGUACUGUGGUACUACACUAUUACACUGUUAUGUACUACUAAUGUACUAGUAUCUAAGAGGAUAAGGAAUAUCUACGGAACAUGUACACAAUAUAACACAUUACCAAAGCAUCUAAGGACACGAACACUGACUCUGACAUUGUAUUAUGUUAUGUGACAGUAGCAUAACGUUGGACACACCUGCUCAUUCAAGGGUUUUUCUUUAUUUUUUACUAUUUUCUACAUUGUAGCAUAAUAGAUGAAGACAUAAAAACUAUGAAAAAGCAGUGAAGUCCUAUUACCAGUCAGAUAGGAAGUAGCAGUGAAGUCCUAUUACCAGUCAGGUAGGAAGUAGCAGUGAAGUCCUAUUACCAGUCAGAUAGGAAGUAGCAGUGAAGUCCUAUUACCAGUCAGAUAGGAAGUAGCAGUGAAGUCCUAUUACCAGUCAGAUAGGAAGUAGCAGUGAAGUCCUAUUACCAGUCAGGUAGGAAGUAGCAGUGAAGUCCUAUUACCAGUCAGAUAGGAAGUAGCAGUGAAGUCCUAUUACCAGUCAGGUAGGAAGUAGCAGUGAAGUCCUAUUACCAGUCAGAUAGGAAGUAGCAGUGAAGUCCUACCACCAUAAACACCAUCUGUUGUCUGCACACCCCUGACCACAGAUCAAAUUAAAUUAAAUGUUAUUGGUCUCAUACACACAUUUCUCUGAUGUUAUCGCAGGUGUAGCGAAACAGUGCAGUAAUAUCUAACAAAACAUGCAAAUCCCCACAAUUUCUUUGAAGAAAUGGAUGAAGAAAUAUUGAGAAAUGGU